CAUUGUACUGACAAAUUGCAAAAAACGUUGAUCAGUCAAUAAGCAGCGAUGGGUCCCACUUGGCAGGCUGACAUGGCACCAAGUUUUCACACCGUUUUACUAGCCCAUUAAAAGGUUCCCAGGGCCCACCCGUCAGCUUCUUGGCUUCUUUCUCUUCUCCAGAGCCUCUUAUCCACGGAUGAUGGCCUCGCCGGCGCCGCUCCCCCGCGCCUCACCUGCUGGCCAAGCCUUCCCUCCCUCCCCUUCCAUUGCCGGCAACCACGGCAGUUCCCGUGCUUCCCGACGGAGGCAGGGCCGGACGGAGGCUCGGUGGUCACGGGCUCACGGCGGCUGGAGGUAGCGGCGGUGCUGUCGUAGGUCGGGUCGAGCUCCCCCACGCCGAGCUCGCCGGUGACCUGAGGCCAACACGAAGAGCUCCCCGACCUCCAGUGCUCCUUAUUUCCCAACCCCGCGACCCGCCCCAUACUCGAUUAUCCCCGUCGCUGUUGCAAACCUCGGCCCCGCCAUCGACGAAGUUCAUGGUUGUCGCGGCCAACGACCACCGCAAAUCACUGAAACUUGCCGAAUAGACUCGUCGUCGUCUGAAUACUCUCUUCCCCAGAGGAAUCGGCGUGAGGAGCCAGGAACGGAGGAACCGUCGGCGUCGCUUUCAUCUUCUCUGCCUCCGGUGGAGCUCCGCGGCGCGCUGAUCUCCUCUACAACUAACCCAUGUGAUCUCCCUCAACUACAUCUACUUCGCAAGGACGUGCAGAAGGCACUGAUGCCUCUUCCUCGAGCUCUCUGCAUCCAAGGCCGCCCCCGCCCUUCACCUCUGCUAUGUCAUCCGCCGCCGACGUUGCGGCUAACUGCCAUGCUCCGCUGCUGUCCCCGUGUCCUGGACCCACCUAGGCGUGCUAAUCCAUUGAUUUCUGCCUGCACAUUGGCAGCUCACAACCCCACAGUAAACACACCGCGCGGCGAAGCUUCAGAUUUGCUCUAGAUCCAGCUCGUCGCCGCCCUCGCAGUUCAUGUCGAUGGCCACCUCCGGCGCCCGUUGCUCCUUCCCAUCGCGUGCAUGGCCACCGCCACGGCGUCGGGCGGCUCGACGAGGAGCAGGUGGUGGCGGCGCGUCCAAAAGAAGAAGGUUGCGGUAGCCCAGCAGCAAGGGGCGGCGGCGCCGACGAGCGUGCGGGCGCGGGCGCGCUGUGGCCUCCGGGGCGCGACUGGUUCGAUUUUGACUGGUCAAACCUGACCAGUUAGCGCCGUUAUUCCCUGCGUGACGGGCGCCGUCUCCCCCUCCGCCAGGUGGCAUCUGACAGUGGGACCUAGCGGUCAGUUUUGCAUCAAACGACUCUAAUCAACCUAGCAGCGUUUUUUGCAAACUGUCAGUACAAUGGUGGUGGGUUUUUGCAAAAAAAGAAACGUGAUGGUUUUUGCAAUUUACUCUACACUUCGCAACAGGGCUCGUCGAAAUCCCGACACAAUAACAACAUAUAUUUCAUUGUUCUUGAUGACAGCCGGAGAUUAAAGUUAACUCAACAUAUGUGGAUUACGGCACCAUGGACUUUCAAGCACUCUUGGAAGGACCCCAUGAUUUGGACAGAUGGCUGAAAGGUAAGAUGUUUAAUUCUUGUGGUCUAUUCCAAACUUUGUUACACAAGCAAGCAAUUUAUCAAUGGUUCAACUUUCAAACCAAAUAAUGUAUGAUUCCUUGCAGGUGCAUUCAUUCCUACUUAUAUAAAGGAGGCGAAUUUAACUCAUGAGGCAAGAUUUUCGCACAUCCAAAAGUACAAACUUGCAAAACAAAUGAACGUGGCAAAUGGCAUUGAAAAACUGUUUCAUCAUUGUAGAAUGAAUGCAAAUUUUAUUCACCAACUAGGGACCAUGGCAUGACAAUACAAACACCUAUGGCUGAGAAAGAGGAGGCCACUGCCACCACGACUCUCAAUGGCGGAGGAGGAGAUGAGAGAGGGAGGAGGGGCCAUGUACCCGCUGCCUUGUCACCGGAGAAGCAGAAGGCUUGCGGCCACCGCCACACCACCGGAGGAGGGGACCUGCGAUCUACUAGGUGUGAAUUAUGAAGGCUACAUUUGUUGCAAUGUACCAUUUGUCAUUGUCUCAAGUAGUUAAACACAUAUGCUAUGUGCUUCAGAUUACAUAGCAAAAAGUGGUUGGAGGCAUGGAAGUCGUGUGAGAAGUGCACGUGAGAGAGGAACAUGGUCGAUAAACAUAGAACCAUGCUCCCGAGACUUGCGUUCUACAAGUGAAGGCCAAAAACAUGGGAGCAGAAGAAACAAUGACCAUUGGACAUCUGAAGAGGUGAAAGAACUAGUGGAUGGCGUAUCUGUAUAUGGGGUUGGACCAUGGACUAAGUUGAAGAAUGAAAGGUUUCCAAUAUCAAUUCGAACAGCGGUGCAUCUUAAGGAUAAGUGGAGAAACCUAGUGAAAGCCUUCACGGGAAAUGUGAAAAGAAGGAUCUCGCCUCGUCUAGAUAAGGAUUGCGUCGAAAAGAUCAAGAGGCUAGCAGCUGAUUACCCUCGAAAAUGAAGUAGCACUCGUGAAUGCUACGCGAAACAUCAUACAGUACUUUCGGUGUAGCAGUGACCCUGCAACAAGAGUUCUGUUAUUUUUCCAGAACUGUGAAGCAUAGGCUGUCAUAUUAAGUGUGUCGAGAGUAGAGAGUAGACUGAACCAUCUGAAUGGAACAGCCUCUAUCUCCUG
Molecule: long non-coding RNA, 2700 nt
Organism: Triticum aestivum (bread wheat)
Lineage: Eukaryota; Viridiplantae; Streptophyta; Magnoliopsida; Poales; Poaceae
Exons: 3
Source: RefSeq, a predicted model, not a curated record